AUGUGUUUGUUUACAGUAAAUGGCACUGUACAGUGUAUGUUCUAUCUAAAAACAACAACAACAACAACAACAACAACAACAGUGGCUGUGCAGCACAGGGAGAAGUACCAAAGUAGGAUGGCGCAAGUAGGAAGGAGUCAGCACAGUCCAGGAGACACCAUCAACACCAUCACUACAACCCUCAGGGGUCAUGGAAAGCAGGAAGCUGUCUAGGGAGCUCAUGGAAGACCUUAUGAAGUUUGUUCCAUCCAGGGAAACACUGAAAGUUGCUGGAUUAGAAGGCAAGACUGGAAGAAAAGACUUGUCCUGCAAAGACUCUGGGAGAUGUGUUUUCAAUUUUUUGUAUUUAACCUAUCUCCUCCAGUUGCCUUGUUAGAGAGAUAACUUGCUGUAGCUUAUUAGUCUGCAUUAUGCUGAGUCUAGGAGCCUUCUGAUGUGUUGGUGUAUUCAUUUUAGACAAAAUACUGACCAAUUCUAUUUCAAGGCUCUGCUAAUUGGGGUUCUGUCAUAGUCUUUGUUCCUCAUAUGAAAAACAGGAGAUUUCUAGAGUUCCUGAUAUGACUGUAUCUAUGGAAAGGACUGUGUUAUUUGCACUUGGGGGUGUGCCAGUAAAUUCAAGGUCCAUCUUCUUCUUUUAUUUUUUGGAAAAAAUACAGCUUUACAAAUCUGUACUGUAGACCACAGUUGGUUUCUGGAUCCUUGGCACUAUAGCAUGUAUUUGUUUGCCAUUUAUUUUUAUCUCACUUUGUAGCUCUUGGGACAAGCUUCCUUUGCAGGUAAAGGCAAAUAUCUGGAUUUCUGUCGCACUGGGGCCAAAUCACAUUAGAGUUUCAUUGUGGGAACAAAUGCAGCUUCACAGCUCAUUGCGCAGCCAGUGCAGUCUGGAGAUAAUGGAGAGGACACAAAACAAGAAAAUACAUGAAAGAAAUAUAGCCAUUAGUAACCUUGCUAGUACCUAUUUGCUCUCUCAGUAAGGAUGGCAAUUCACCCAUUAUAAAUCUCCUAAAGUGUGCACAUAUCAGGUGUUGCCCCUUCAGUUAAGUAAACAGACCCAGGGACUGUUUUCUUCCUUAAGCCACCAAAUACAGGUUGGGUUCAUAAAACUUUGUCCUUUGAUAUCUUUGCAAGUAAACAGAUGCAAGGCAAAUUAAAACAGCUGACUGUUUCUAGACUCACUUGAGCAGACUGUGGCUUUCCACAAGGGAUUUAUACAUCAGCUGAAUAAUGCAGUUUAUAAGGAGUGUGAAGUGAGCUGCAUUUAUCUACAUUCAGGAAAUAACUAUGUAGAAUGAGCCUUAUUCUUCUCUUCAUUUACCCAAGUUUCAAGUGGAUUCCAGGGGGAUUUCUCCUUGCAGCAGCCUAUAUGAGAAUAAAAACCAAGGAUUUCACA
RNAcentral lists this long non-coding RNA (1390 nucleotides) under Struthio camelus australis. RNAcentral describes it as "lncRNA (ENSSCUG00000004393.1)". The record is from RNAcentral. Lineage: Eukaryota; Metazoa; Chordata; Aves; Struthioniformes; Struthionidae.